Molecule: ribosomal RNA, 468 nt
Filed under: uncultured bacterium
Lineage: Bacteria
Description: partial 16S ribosomal RNA
Rfam family: Bacterial small subunit ribosomal RNA
Source: RNAcentral
GAUGAACGCUGGCGGCGUGCUUAACACAUGCAAGUCGAACGGAAAGGCCCAAGCUUGCUUGGGUCCUCGAGUGGCGAACGGGUGAGUAACACGUGUGUGAUCUGCCCUGCACUUCGGGAUAAGCCUAGGAAACUGGGUCUAAUACCGGAUAGGACGAUGGUUUGGAUGCCAUUGUGGAAAGUUUUUUCGGUGUGGGAUGAGCUCGCGGCCUAUCAGCGUGUUGGUGGGGUAGUGGCCUACCAAGGCGUCGACGGGUAGCCGGCCCGAGAGUGUGUAUGGCCACAUUUGGACUGAGAAACGGUACAGACUCCUCCGGGAGGCAGCAGUGGGGAAUAUUGCAAAAUGUGAGAAAGACUGAUGCAGCGACGCCGCGUGGGGGAAGACGGCCUUCGGGUUGUAAACUCCUUUCGCUAGGGAAGAGCCGUUUUUGUGACGGUACCUGGAGAAGAAGCACCGGCUAACUACGUG